Molecule: small RNA, 288 nt
Filed under: Pongo abelii (Sumatran orangutan)
Lineage: Eukaryota; Metazoa; Chordata; Mammalia; Primates; Hominidae
Description: processed transcript
Source: RNAcentral
GUGACCUGGAAGACCGGGAGGACGAUAUGCCAGGGCAAACAUCCUCUGAGGAAACCACAAGUGUUCACAUGGGGACCCAGCCACACUGGCAAAGAUUCUGAUGAGGGAUCUACUACAGGAGCUUUCCGGUUACAGUGGAGAGGAGGAGGACCCAGAGGAUGUGAAGAAAUCAUCAAGAGUUCCACCAAGUGGUGACCUGGAAGACCUGGAGGAGCAUUUGCCAGGGCAGGCAUCCUCUAAGGAAGCCACAGGGGUUCACAUGAUGCACGGGGACCCAGCCACACUGGC